This 826-nucleotide long non-coding RNA is filed under the name Oncorhynchus kisutch (coho salmon). RNAcentral's name for it is "lncRNA (ENSOKIG00005040015.1)". The record is from RNAcentral. Lineage: Eukaryota; Metazoa; Chordata; Actinopteri; Salmoniformes; Salmonidae.
AGUCAAGUUGCUUGUCUGUUUGUUUUUGCAUUGGUGAGCAUUUGCCCGAAGUCUCAUCUGUUCAGUAAUUUAUCGUAUAGUAAUUACAUUUCCAAAUACAAGAAUUAGAAGGCUUGAUUCCAAGUUGUACAUCAACAGUUUUCUUUCACUCACUGGGUCAUUGUGUGGUCAUGUGUGCUUUCGGAGAGAGUGCUGUCAUUCUUUACCAUCAAAUGUAAACAAACUUGGAGCAAAUCCGGAUAUAUACAUACAUCUGUCAAUGUAACGGACGUGGGUGCAACUUUCUCUGCUAGAUAAGAGAUUUCCUCAGCUGAAGACAUUUGUGAUCAAGUACUUCUGGAUUCCUUUAUUUCAGAAACAUAAUCUGGGAGUGCUCACUCAGCUGCACUGCACGCAUCCUCCGACUGCUGCACAAGCAGAAACUACAACUCAGAUGUUAGCAGCAGAACAAACUUCAAUCACAGGAACCUCCAACUCCAAGUGCACCCCCUCCCUAACGUUCAAAAUGAUUUUCACCUGCAGUGAAUGUGGAGUUUGUCAGGAUCAAAAGAAAUAUGAAAUCAAGACAUCUUUUUUUAAAUGACAUUUUAUUACAUUUUUUUAAAUAGACUUUUUCUUCCACUUUGUAAAUGUGGAGUACAUCGGUCGGAAAAAAAUCUAAUUUAAUACAUUUUCUAUUUCAUUUUAAGGCUGUAUGUAAAAUGUCCAGAUUGUGCAAGGGGUGUGUAGACUUUUACUAGUGACUGUAUACAGGUAUUUGUUAUACCAAGGCCCGAUGGCCCUGUAGCAAAUGGCCCUUCUUCAAAAGAAAAAAAUACAUUUUUUA